UACGUAGGGACCUAGCGUUGUCCGGAAUCAUUGGGCGUAAAGCGCGCGUAGGCGGCCCGGUAAGUCCGUUGUAAAAGCCGAAGGCUCAACCUUCGAAAGCCGAUGGAUACUGCCGGGCUAGAGUACGGAAGAGGCGAGUAGAAUUCCUGGUGUAGCGGUGGAAUGCGCAGAUAUCAGGAGGAAUACCCGUAGCGAAGGCGGCUCGCUGGGACGGUACUGACGCUGAGGCGCGAAAGCGUGGGGAGCGAACAGG
This 253-nucleotide ribosomal RNA is filed under the name uncultured bacterium. RNAcentral's name for it is "partial 16S ribosomal RNA". It matches the Rfam family "Bacterial small subunit ribosomal RNA", at positions 524 to 776 of the family's 1533-position model. The record is from RNAcentral.